This 74-nucleotide transfer RNA is filed under the name Neolewinella agarilytica. RNAcentral's name for it is "Lewinella agarilytica tRNA". It matches the Rfam family "tRNA". From Rfam's summary of the family: Transfer RNA (tRNA) molecules are approximately 80 nucleotides in length. Their secondary structure includes four short double-helical elements and three loops (D, anti-codon, and T loops). Further hydrogen bonds mediate the characteristic L-shaped molecular structure. tRNAs have two regions of fundamental functional importance: the anti-codon, which is responsible for specific mRNA codon recognition, and the 3' end, to which the tRNAs corresponding amino acid is attached (by aminoacyl-tRNA synthetases). tRNAs cope with the degeneracy of the genetic code in two manners: having more than one tRNA (with a specific anti-codon) for a particular amino acid; and 'wobble' base-pairing, i.e. permitting non-standard base-pairing at the 3rd anti-codon position. Lineage: Bacteria; Pseudomonadati; Bacteroidota; Saprospiria; Saprospirales; Lewinellaceae. The record is from Rfam by way of RNAcentral.
GCUCCUGUCGUCUAAACGGUUCAGGAUCUCCGGCUUUCUACCGGAGGAUACGGGUUCGAAUCCCGUCGGGAGUA